Molecule: ribosomal RNA, 497 nt
Filed under: uncultured bacterium
Lineage: Bacteria
Description: partial 16S ribosomal RNA
Rfam family: Bacterial small subunit ribosomal RNA
Source: RNAcentral
GAUGAACGCUGGCGGCGUGCCUAAUACAUGCAAGUCGAGCGAACGGACGAGAAGCUUGCUUCUCUGAUGUUAGCGGCGGACGGGUGAGUAACACGUGGAUAACCUACCUAUAAUACUGGGAUAACUUCGGGAAACCGGAGCUAAUACCGGAUAAUCUUUUGCACCGCAGGGUUCAAAAGUGAAAGACGGUCUUGCUGUCACGUAUCGCUGGAUCCGCGCUGCAUUAGCUAGUUGGUAAGGUAACGGCUUACGAAGGCAACGAUGCAUAGCCGAGCUGAGAGGGUGAUCGGCCACACUGGAGCUGAGACACGGUCCAGACUCCUACGGGAGGCAGCAGUAGGGAAUCUUCCGCAAUGGGCGAAAGCCUGACGGAGCAGCGCCGCGUGAGUGAUGAAGGUCUUCGGAUCGUAAAACUCUGUUAUGAGGGAAGAACAUAUGUGUAAGUAACUGUGCACAGCUUGACGGUACCUAAUCAGAAAGCCACGGCUAACUACGUG